UAGGGAAUCUUCCGCAAUGGACGCAAGUCUGACGGAGCAACGCCGCGUGAGUGAAGAAGGAUUUCGGUUCGUAAAACUCUGUUGUUAGAGAAGAACAGCGCAUAGAGUAACUGUUAUGCGUGUGCCGGUAUCUAACCAGAAAGCCACGGCUAACUACGUGCCAGCAGCCGCGGUAAUACGUAGGUGGCAAGCGUUGUCCGGAUUUAUUGGGCGGAAAGCGAGCGCAGGCGGUAAAUUAAGUCUGAUGUGAAAGCUCCCGGAUCAACCGGGGAGCGUCAUUGGCAACUGGUUUACUUGGGUGCGGAAGAGGAGAGUUGAAUUCCGUGUGUAGCGGUGAAAUGCGUAGAUAUAUGAAGGAACCCCAGUGGCGAGGGCGACUCUUUGGUCUGUAACUGACGCUGAGGCUCGAAAGCGUAGGUAGCAAACAGG
Molecule: ribosomal RNA, 429 nt
Filed under: Bacteroidota bacterium
Lineage: Bacteria; Pseudomonadati; Bacteroidota
Description: Bacteroidetes bacterium partial 16S ribosomal RNA
Rfam family: Bacterial small subunit ribosomal RNA
Source: RNAcentral